CAACGGAUAUCUCGGCUCUCGCAUCGAUGAAGAACGUAGCGAAAUGCGAUACUUGGUGUGAAUUGCAGAAUCCCGUGAACCAUCGAGUCUUUGAACGCAAGUUGCGCCCCAAGCCUUUUGGCCGAGGGCACGUCUGCCUGGGUGUCACUAACCGUCGUCCCC
RNAcentral lists this ribosomal RNA (162 nucleotides) under Biscutella pseudolyrata. RNAcentral's name for it is "5.8S ribosomal RNA". It matches the Rfam family "5.8S ribosomal RNA". Rfam says of the family: 5.8S ribosomal RNA (5.8S rRNA) is a component of the large subunit of the eukaryotic ribosome. It is transcribed by RNA polymerase I as part of the 45S precursor that also contains 18S and 28S rRNA. Lineage: Eukaryota; Viridiplantae; Streptophyta; Magnoliopsida; Brassicales; Brassicaceae. The record is from RNAcentral.